AACGCGGUUAACUUGAUGGGGAAUAAGGGGGUUAGUUUGAGGAACAACCCGGUUAACUAUAAAAGGAUUAACCAGGUUGACAUGAGGAGGAUUAACCAGGUUGACACGAGGAGGAAUAACCGGGUUAGUUUGAAGAGGAGAGCUUCUUGAUAUUUAACCCAGUUACCUUCAAAAGGACCAACCCCGUUAACCUGAAGAGGAACAAACUGGGAUAACAUUUAACAGAUCGAUCAUCCUUUUGAUAUAUGAUUGUUGCAUUACAUCCACCACAGACCAGAGAUUUAAGACUAGGCAUAGGACGCCAGGAACUACAACAAGGACAUUUCACUGUUCCUCCUGUGCUGCUUCUAUAAGAUAAAUUAGCCUUACAGUUUUUACAUGGAAGCCUAGCUGCAAUCAGAUGCCCUGUAAUAACAAAUCAAGAUCUUAAUUAACGAUUCGAUUGAGAAAAAAAGACCAUUGCUAUAACUUACAACGAAUGAAUAGAAACAGUUUGGUUUAUAGAUAUAUACCGAGAUGAGGUGUGAAUGGAACGUGACAUUGUGGACAGAUGACUCUUAGUCCUCCUGUUCCAAGCUCAGCAAAAUGAUAUCUUCCUCGUCUGUUUGCUUGGUUCUGCAUAGCUCUGAGAACACACAAACCAAAGAAGAUUUAACAAUCUAGAAUUUCGAAACAUCAAAGGGAAGAGCAAAAGAUUUUGUUUACCUUGAAGAUGAUAAAAGAGUGUUUUUGAUCAUAUGAAAAGAGAUUAUGAGUUAAAGCAAAAGGGUCUUUGUUGGUCCUUUUAUUAACCAUGAACAGUCAUAAACGUACGUUAAGCAACUCUUCAUGUAUAGAACUUUAAUGUAAUUUUAUUAACUUGGAGAAAUUCUUAUCUAUUUUA
Molecule: long non-coding RNA, 883 nt
Organism: Brassica napus (rape)
Lineage: Eukaryota; Viridiplantae; Streptophyta; Magnoliopsida; Brassicales; Brassicaceae
Exons: 2
Source: RefSeq, a predicted model, not a curated record